RNAcentral lists this RNase P RNA (422 nucleotides) under Sulfuritalea sp. RNAcentral describes it as "RNase P RNA component class A". It matches the Rfam family "Bacterial RNase P class A". Rfam says of the family: Ribonuclease P (RNase P) is a ubiquitous endoribonuclease, found in archaea, bacteria and eukarya as well as chloroplasts and mitochondria. Its best characterised activity is the generation of mature 5'-ends of tRNAs by cleaving the 5'-leader elements of precursor-tRNAs. Lineage: Bacteria; Pseudomonadati; Pseudomonadota; Betaproteobacteria; Nitrosomonadales; Sterolibacteriaceae. The record is from RNAcentral.
GAAGUUCGCCAGGCAACCGCUGAUCACGCAAGUGGUUGGAGGAAAGUCCGGGCCCCACAGGGCGGGAUGCCGGCUAACGGCCGGGCGCUAUAAGUCGGACGGCGCAAGCCGUUCGGCCCAAGGCGACAGACAGUGCAACAGAAAGAUACCGCCUAAGUUCGACUUUGACGCCGCAAGGCGACAAAGUCCCCCUCCUGAAGAGGAGGGGAGAGAACCGGUAAGGGUGAAAUGGUGGGGUAAGAGCCCACCGCGGACGUGGUAACACGGACGGCAUGGCAAACCUCAUUCGGGGCAAGGCCAAAUAGGGGAGUAAUGGCGUGGCCCGCGUCGCUCCCGGGUAGGCUGCUAGAGGCCGUCGGUAACGGCGGUCCCAGAGGAAUGGUUGCCCACGACAGAACCCGGCUUAUCGGCGGACUUCCCAC